This 65-nucleotide transfer RNA is filed under the name Centruroides vittatus. RNAcentral describes it as "tRNA-Tyr". Lineage: Eukaryota; Metazoa; Arthropoda; Arachnida; Scorpiones; Buthidae. The record is from RNAcentral.
AGGUUUGCGUGACCGAAGCUUAGGUAUAAAACUGUAAAUUUUAUUAUGAUAUCUAUCCCAAACCA